This 253-nucleotide ribosomal RNA is filed under the name uncultured bacterium. Its description in RNAcentral is "partial 16S ribosomal RNA". It matches the Rfam family "Bacterial small subunit ribosomal RNA", at positions 524 to 776 of the family's 1533-position model. The record is from RNAcentral.
UACGUAGGUGGCAAGCGUUGUCCGGAUUUACUGGGCGUAAAGAGCGCGCAGGCGGUCGAUUUAGUCGCGUGUGAAAGCCCCCGGCUCAACUGGGGAGGGUCACGCGAUACUGAUCGACUCGAAGGCAGGAGAGGGUAGUGGAAUUCCCGGUGUAGUGGUGAAAUGCGUAGAUAUCGGGAGGAACACCAGUGGCGAAGGCGACUACCUGGCCUGUUCUUGACGCUGAGGCGCGAAAGCUAGGGGAGCAAAUGGG